AGAGUUUGAUCCUGGCUCAGAUUGAACGCUGGCGGCAGGCCUAACACAUGCAAGUCGAGCGGCAGCGGGUCCUUCGGGAUGCCGGCGAGCGGCGGACGGGUGAGUAAUGCCUAGGAAUCUGCCUGGUAGUGGGGGAUAACUCGGGGAAACUCGAGCUAAUACCGCAUACGUCCUACGGGAGAAAGUGGGGGAUCUUCGGACCUCACGCUAUCAGAUGAGCCUAGGUCGGAUUAGCUAGUUGGUGAGGUAAAGGCUCACCAAGGCGACGAUCCGUAACUGGUCUGAGAGGAUGAUCAGUCACACUGGAACUGAGACACGGUCCAGACUCCUACGGGAGGCAGCAGUGGGGAAUAUUGGACAAUGGGCGAAAGCCUGAUCCAGCCAUGCCGCGUGUGUGAAGAAGGUCUUCGGAUUGUAAAGCACUUUAAGUUGGGAGGAAGGGCAGUAAGUUAAUACCUUGCUGUUUUGACGUUACCAACAGAAUAAGCACCGGCUAACUUCGUGCCAGCAGCCGCGGUAAUACGAAGGGUGCAAGCGUUAAUCGGAAUUACUGGGCGUAAAGCGCGCGUAGGUGGUUCAGCAAGUUGGAGGUGAAAUCCCCGGGCUCAACCUGGGAACUGCCUCCAAAACUACUGGGCUAGAGUAUGGUAGAGGGUGGUGGAAUUUCCUGUGUAGCGGUGAAAUGCGUAGAUAUAGGAAGGAACACCAGUGGCGAAGGCGACCACCUGGACUAAUACUGACACUGAGGUGCGAAAGCGUGGGGAGCAAACAGGAUUAGAUACCCUGGUAGUCCACGCCGUAAACGAUGUCGACUAGCCGUUGGGAUCCUUGAGAUCUUAGUGGCGCAGCUAACGCGAUAAGUCGACCGCCUGGGGAGUACGGCCGCAAGGUUAAA
RNAcentral lists this ribosomal RNA (895 nucleotides) under uncultured bacterium. RNAcentral describes it as "bacterial SSU rRNA". It matches the Rfam family "Bacterial small subunit ribosomal RNA", at positions 8 to 898 of the family's 1533-position model. The record is from RNAcentral.